This 5626-nucleotide long non-coding RNA is filed under the name Marmota monax (woodchuck). Lineage: Eukaryota; Metazoa; Chordata; Mammalia; Rodentia; Sciuridae. The record is from RNAcentral.
GGACACCUGAACAUGUCCUUGUGUCCAGUCGUGGAGCUACUGGCUGACAUUGUGCAGAACUGCAGCCUGGAAGACUCCCAGAUUGAAAAGGAACGAGACGUGAUCCUGCGGGAAAUGCAGGAGAAUGAUGCAUCUUUGCGGGAUGUGGUCUUUGACUACUUGCAUGCAACAGCGUUCCAAGGCACACCUUUAGCCCAGGCUGUGGAAGGGCCCAGUGAGAAUGUCAGGUGAGAACUGACUCUGUGUUGUUUAUUUUCCUAAUUUUCUGCAAUUGGAGACAGUUUCUGUAUUGCCAUAUGGUCCCUGUGAACCUAUUUAAAUGGCUGUGUGGUCUUCACUUCAAUCUUGGGCUUUGUUUUAGGGUAUGUUUCCAUGUAUGCCCUUAUAAUCUAAGGAGGGAACAUUUGGCUUGCAGGUGGGAGGUGUUUGAGAGCUCUGACCCUGCCCCUCGAGUCACACAGCGUCAGCUCACACCUCAGAGAGGGCUGUGAGACUGUCCUGAGGGCACAUGUGAGGCAGGGCCAGAUGAGGGCUCCACUCUGGGCCUUGAAAGGGUGGUUGGUAGAGAUGAAGAUGUAAUAGGGCCUCUUCAGAGAGGCCAUGUCUCUUCUCAAUUCCAUUAUAUCCAAGUUGCUAUGGAUUGGUAGAGAACUUGAUCCAUAUGGGCUGUAUGUUUUAUAGGAAAUUGUCUCGUGCAGACUUGACUGAGUAUCUAAGCAGGCAUUACAAGGCCCCUCGCAUGGUGCUGGCAGCAGCAGGAGGUGAGUGAUGGGCUCCUUGAAGCUCUGGGUAAGUGGAGCCUGGCCUUUGUAGUCAGAACCCCCAUUUUCACUCCAAGGGACCUUGUUCCUGUCCUUGAGGGGAAUGAUCUCUCUCCUUUGCUUUCAAGAUAGGGUAGAAUUCUGCCCUUCUGCCAUUACUAGGACUAGCCACACAGGUACACUCCUCAUCUAAUACAUGCCUCAGUUGGACUAAUGGCCCCUCCCUAGGGCGCAGGCCUCUCUUUGUCCCCCCUGGUGCUAGGAUAACUAGUUCGUGGCUGUUGAGGGACAUAAGCUCCUGGGUAGGCCUUGCCAUUCAUUGCCAUUGGUUGAACCAGACAUUGGGUAUGUGAUGAUGCAUAUACAUGAUGAGUUGGGAAGCACAUUGAAGGCACAAAAUGUUAGGGGAGUUCAGAGUUAGUUAUAGUGGGGACAGGUGAAGCAUGAGUCUUUUGCCAGAGGCCCGAAGGAUGGUAGGUAUUUAUUUGUUAGGUGGGGAAUGGAGGACCUUGGCAGAGGUGUCAUGUUCUGGUAAUUUAUUUUAAGAUUUGUUCUACUGAGUGGGGCCAGAGCAGAGCAGGCUAACUAGGGAUGAGGUGUGGCACAUGCCUGGAGAGAGAGAGCAGGAGCUAAGGAGAGACUUAGGUUUUCUAGACUUAAGUUCUGUAGUUGAAAACCUCAUACAGAUCUGGAUGUGGGUAGAGGAGGAGGUUCAAAAUGCUUCCUGCUUAUGGUCUUGGCAACUGGGUAGGUGAAAAAGACUGAUAGGAAGAGCAUAACUGAGGGAUUUAGAGCCAGGACACCUGGGACCAAGGGCAGUGUGAGCUACUAACACAGACUUUUCGAGUGAUAGCAGAACUGGGACAGGCUGUCCACUGCCAUAGUGAUUACUGGUUAAAUCACUGGGGCAGCAGAGGCCUCUUGUGGAACUGAGGAGGUGAGACCUGGAAAGGAGUCCUGAGGGUAUAAGUUUGUGAUGCUCCUUGUAAGUGUUCUCAGCUCUCAGGGACACCAGAAUUCAUUAUAGCCCUGCAAUAGCACCUCUUUGUGCCUCUCACUUGCCACUGCUUUCAUGACCAGCACCCAGAUCUGCUUGUAGUAGGGCUUGAGGGACAAGGCAUCCCCGUGACCUUAUUCCCAGGAGCACCAGUCUUGUUCUUGAUACAGGUGAGAUGAUGCUUCUAGGAUGAGAAUCGGCACUUACGUCACAUAGCAGCAUUCUCCACCUUUUUUUUUUUGUAUCAGGGAUUGAGCCCAGAGGCACUUAAGCAUUGAGCCAUAUCCCCAGCCCUUUUUUAUUUUUUAUUUUAAGGUAGGAUCUUGCUGAGGCUGUAGUCCUCCUGCCUCAGCCUCCCAAGCUGCUGGAAUUACAGGUGUGUGCCCGGGUCAUGGCAGCCCUUUUUUUGGGGGUGGGGGUUACUGCGGAUUGUACUCAGGGACACUCAACCACUGAGCCAUAUCCCCAGCCCUGUUUUGUGUUUUAUUUUGAGUUGCUUAAUGCCUCACAAUUGCUGAGGCUGGCUUUGAACUCACGACCCUUCUGCCUCAGCCUUCCAUGCAGCUGGGAUUACAGGCAUGUGCCCCCAUAUCUGGCCUUUUUUGUUUGUUUGUUUGUUUGUUUGUUUGUUUUAAUAUAUAUUUUUAGCUAUAGGUGGACACAAUACCCUUAUUUUAUUUUUAUGUGGUGCUGAGGAUUGAACCUAGUUCCUCCCGCAUGCUAGGCAAGUGCUCUACCCAGUUCCAUGGCUGCCCAUUUUUAAAGUGCUGUUUUUGCUAGGCAUGGUGUUACAGUAUCUCAGGAGACUAAGGUAGGAGGAUCAUGAGUUCAAAGCCAGCCUCAGCUACUUAGAAAGACCCUGUCUCUAAAACAAAAUAUACAAAAGGACUGGGGAUGUAAUUCAGUGAUUAAGCGCUGCUGGGUUCAAUCCCAAGUACAAAAAAAAAAAAAAAAUGCUGCUUUUCUCUUUUGCCUGACACCAUGGGAACUAUUUGAUCCUGAAGUGUCUUUCUUGCCUGUGAGAUAGGGUCAUUUGGCAGAUGCUCCUCUUCCCUCAUCUUAUCUCAAUGUUGUAUUUUCCUUCUGCUGUCUCCCACUGAGACAGGACAUAGGGUCUUGCACCUGUCUGUGAUUCCCCCUGGCUAGCCAGUAACUCCAUUGCCCAUGUCCUCAGGAGUGGAGCAUCGUCAACUGCUAGACCUCGCCCAGAAGCACUUCAGCAGCGUCUCUGCGACAUACCCAGAUGACACCGUGCCUACUCUAAGUCCGUGCCGCUUCACUGGAAGCGAGGUGUGCUGCCUGGUGGGCAGGGAUGCUGUUGUCAACUGGGGAUUUUGAGAGAACCCUCAUAUGCAUGUGACCCCAUAAUGACUCAGAAGUAGGGAAAGGGUCUUGUGCCUGUUGCCUGAGGAUGAUUUUACACAUAUGUGCAUGCUUCACCCACACCAGCCAUCCUUUCUGUUUGUCCUGGAAGUCUGGCUAUACUGUUCCUCAGCCCUUGACAUGUACUCUUUCAGAUUCGCCACCGUGAUGAUGCCCUGCCCUUGGCCCAUGUGGCCAUUGCAGUAGAGGGACCUGGUUGGUCCAACCCAGACAAUGUGGCCCUCCAAGUGGCCAAUGCCAUAAUUGGCCAUUAUGACUGCACUUACGGUGGUGGCGUGGUAAGUGUCAGGAUUGAGCAUAGGACCUUGCCUUUAAAGAAGAGAGUACUGCCGGGUGCAUGCCUGUAAUCCCAGCAGCUUGGGAGGCUGAGAUGGGAGGAUCGCAAAUUCAAAGCCAGCCUCAGCGAAAAAAUCAAGGCACUAAACAACCCAGAGCAUGUCUCUAAAUAAAAUACAAAAAAAAAAAAAAAUGGGGAUGUGGCUCAGUGGUUGAGUGCUUCUGAGUUCAAUCCCUGGUACACCACCCCGCCCCCCACCCCCCCCAAAAAAAAGGAAAGAAAAGGGAGUACUAAGCUGUGGGUUUCAGGGUAUAUGGGCCAGAGAUAAGAGGGGGUGCUAACCAUUUGUGCCCCUGGCAGCACCUGUCCAGCCCACUGGCUUCAGUUGCUGUGGCCAACAAGCUGUGCCAGAGUUUCCAGACCUUCAAUAUCUGCUAUGCAGAGACUGGGUUGUUGGGUGCACACUUCGUCUGUGACCGUAUGAGCAUCGAUGACAUGAUAUUCUUCCUGCAGGGCCAGUGGUGAGUGGCAGCUGGGAACUACUGGGUGGGAUAGAAAUCUGACCAGAGAGGUGGGAGGUUAAGAGUCAACGCACUUGUCACAAUGAACACUACCAUAUACCUGUCCUUUACUCCCUGCUUUAGGAUGCGCCUGUGUACCAGUGCCACGGAAAGUGAGGUUACUCGGGGCAAAAACAUCCUAAGAAAUGCCCUGGUAUCUCAUCUGGAUGGUGAGCCCUUUAUCCCUAAAGGAAGGGGUAGAAUAGUGCAUCCUGGCAGUGACAGCUCAUUGUAGCCAUUAUUACAAACCAAGAUUGGAAAAGAAAACGUUGAAGGUCAUGCCAUGCUCCACCACCCCAACUAUAGGGGUUUGAAGCUUUAGGUAGACAUGGGGGUAGCCCAUCACUGUGGAAAUAGGUUGUUAGAAAAGUGAUGGUUGUGGUCUGGAGUCAGAGCAAGGUCUUUGUUAACCUGAUGCCAGGGAUUUUAUGUGUAUAUGUGGGUUCAAGAUUGGACUGGGUAGAUCUCUAAGCUUUCCCCACCAUUAAAGGCACCACUCCUGUGUGUGAGGAUAUUGGACGCAGCCUCCUGACAUAUGGCCGCCGCAUCCCCCUGGCUGAGUGGGAGAGCCGGAUUGCGGUAACAUGGGCCCCUGGGAGAGGUUCUGGAGUCUUGGCCUAGCAGAACCCUGAAAGGGGGUGGGAUGUUGAUGCCUGACGGGAGACUGUUCCCAUAGGCAUCUCUAUUGUCCUAGGUAGCUGUCACCCAUAGGGAUGAUGUAGUCAGAAGGAAGGGCAAAGGCACUAAUGACUGUAGGGAUAGGUGAUGUCCAUGGAUGUCUACAGUAGGGAAAACCUUGCCACCCUUUUUGGAUGAGGGAAAUGUUCCACAGUACAUGUGGGAGAUCUUGGUCAGCUGGAGGAGGCUGGCUGACUGAGGUGGUGCCCAGUGCCUAUUAGUCAGUUUGUCCUCUGCCUCUCCCUGCAGGAGGUGGAUGCCCAUGUGGUGCGUGAGGUCUGCUCCAAGUAUUUCUAUGACCAGUGUCCAGCAGUGGCUGGAAUGGGUGAGUGGUCUAGAAAGUCUGCUUUUUGUCCUUUUCCUCAGAUCCUUGUCCUAGUCUCCCCUUCCACUUCUGCUCCCCUACCUCCAGCCUACAUUGAGAGAAGCAGUUUGAGGCCCCUGAGAGUAGUGUGGCUGCCAGGGAGUUCUUGCUCAGAAAACCUGUCCCAGCAGCUCCCUGACUCCCUGCCAAGGUGUCUUCAUCAAUAUCCCUUACCCACCGGGUAACGGACACCCUGUUUGUUGGGUGGGGCUCUAAGGGCCUGAGCAAGAAAGGACAGGCUCUGCACCCCUAGGGGAAUGUUGUCUUCCCUCUCUUCACUGAAAGCCUGUCUUGUGCUUCUCUGGGCAGCAGCUCUGAGCUGGGUAUGGCACAGGGCCAGGUGUCCCUGUACAGAACAGGUACCCCACCCUGACACCUCACCCUAUCCCCACAGGCCCAAUCGAGCAGCUCCCUGACUACAACCGGAUCCGUAGUGGCAUGUUCUGGCUGCGCUUCUAGCAAGAUGCCUGUGCAGGCAAGAGGGUAGGAUCGGGGCUCAUGAUCCCCCUCUACAAACAUGCCACUCUGGCACCUCAAACCCAUGCAAUAGAUACCACCAAUAAAGUCCUCUGUUGAGAAUUGUGUUGUACUUCCUUUAUUGGCAUG